Molecule: ribosomal RNA, 253 nt
Filed under: uncultured bacterium
Lineage: Bacteria
Also listed under: 1 other name
Description: partial 16S ribosomal RNA
Rfam family: Bacterial small subunit ribosomal RNA
Source: RNAcentral
UACGUAGGGAGCGAGCGUUGUCCGAAUUUACUGGGCGUAAAGCGCACGUAGGCGGACUAUUAAGUUGGUGGUGAAAUGCCGAGGCUCAACCUCGGAACUGCCUCCAAAACUGUUAGUCUUGAGGUAUGGAGAGGGAACUGGAAUUCCAGGUGUAGCGGUGAAAUGCGUAGAUAUCUGGAGGAACACCCAUGGCGAAGGCAGGUUCCUGGCCAUAUCCUGACGCUGAGGUGCGAAAGCUAGGGGAGCGAACGGG